This 182-nucleotide non-coding RNA is filed under the name Pseudomonadota bacterium. RNAcentral describes it as "Proteobacteria bacterium 6S RNA". It matches the Rfam family "6S / SsrS RNA". From Rfam's summary of the family: E. coli 6S RNA was the first non coding RNA to be sequenced, but its function was unknown until recently. It consists of 184 nucleotides that fold into an extended hairpin structure with a large single-stranded internal bulge. Lineage: Bacteria; Pseudomonadati; Pseudomonadota. The record is from RNAcentral.
CGUCGCCUGUUGUGUGCGAGCAGGUCCAAAUCCCUUAGAACCUAGAAUACCCAGAGGGGGCCCGGAUAAGCGGGCUGUUGAGCAUGUCCGCCUUGCGCGGAAAGCCUGAUGCGCGCUUUGGGGCUCCCACUUGAACCGUUCGGUUCAAGGUAUCGGGCCGAUACGACAUAUACGGGUGGCGC